UCCAGGGUAGCCUAGUGGACAUGGCAUCUGCCCGGUGAGCGGAACACUGUUGGGUUCGAUUUCCAUCCCUGGUAA
Molecule: transfer RNA, 75 nt
Filed under: Cordylochernes scorpioides
Lineage: Eukaryota; Metazoa; Arthropoda; Arachnida; Pseudoscorpiones; Chernetidae
Description: tRNA-Thr
Rfam family: tRNA
About the family: Transfer RNA (tRNA) molecules are approximately 80 nucleotides in length. Their secondary structure includes four short double-helical elements and three loops (D, anti-codon, and T loops).
Source: RNAcentral